Cucumis melo (muskmelon) is the source of this 1051-nucleotide long non-coding RNA. RefSeq lists it as uncharacterized. The record is from RefSeq and is a predicted model, not a curated record. Lineage: Eukaryota; Viridiplantae; Streptophyta; Magnoliopsida; Cucurbitales; Cucurbitaceae. The transcript is spliced from 2 exons.
ACAUUUUUGUAUUACUUAAUUAUUGAUUUUGUAACACCCCAAGACACAAUUAUCUUUCAAGAUACAUAUUCGCCUAUUUGCAUUCCCCAAAACACUAACAUUUGGAUUUGAUCUACCUGUGGCCUUUAGAUCUUGUUGUAAGCAACCUUCGAGACAUAUGAUGAUGCAAAAUGUAUACAUAUGGCGAUGCAAGACUUAUACAUAAGGCAACACUAAUAAGGUGGGCAAAAGUGUUUUUAAAGAAAAAAACUUAAUAUCUUUUCCUAAAUUUUCCCUCCUUCUCCUUCUUUUCUCUCACGCAAGCACCUUGGCCGUCACUCUCCAUUGGCUUCACCGAAACCCACCUACCCAAAAUCUCAACUCCGACGAUCGCCCAGCUCCGGCUACCCCAAUCUUCUUCGCUGGCAACUCCACACGUCCCCAACCUUCUUCCUCACCCAUUCUUCUUUCCGCCGGCAACCCACGCGAACGGCCACAAAAACCCAAAAUUUCCUUAUGCCGCAGCCCUUCCCUCGCCGGCGACCAUCACCUACUGCAACCCUUCUCUCGCCGGCGACCCCAAUCUUCUGCAGCGUUCCUUCCCCUACCCCAAUCUUCUUCUCACGCGAACGGACAUAGACCCCCUACCCGAUUUCCUUCUGCCCAUAGAUUUUCUUCGUCGACGACCCUCACCCGAAGUUCUUCUCACUUGGAAUGCCCACAGACUAAAGAAAAUCAGCCGCACUACCCUUCUCUGCCGAUUUCCUUCACCGGCGACCCUUCACCUUGAUUUUCUUCGCUGAACGGCUCCUUGGCAGAAAUUCUCGUCUGCUCGUAGACCUUCACCGCUGUUUAUGUACUUUGAAGAAGCAAGGAAGAUACUGUUUUUUUUUUAGACUUUCUAAUGAGUUGACCAUUUUUUGUGUAUUUAAUAUUUUUUUUGUUCAUUUUGGUAUGCCAAAAUGAAAUUUAAUAUAGCUCAAGUUUAUAUAUUUUGUUAUUGCAACUAAAGAAUUAUGGUUUUUCAUAUUUUGACAAAAUAUUAAUGGUUGGAAAUAUUUUUAUUUUUAAA